This 181-nucleotide ribosomal RNA is filed under the name uncultured bacterium. RNAcentral's name for it is "partial 16S ribosomal RNA". It matches the Rfam family "Bacterial small subunit ribosomal RNA", at positions 1320 to 1500 of the family's 1533-position model. The record is from RNAcentral.
AUGAAGUCGGAAUUGCUAGUAAUCGCGGAUCAGCAUGCCGCGGUGAAUACGUUCCCGGGCCUUGUACACACCGCCCGUCACACCAUGGGAGUCGGUAACACCCGAAGCCUGUAGUCUAACCGCAAGGGGGACGCAGUCGAAGGUGGGAUUGAUGACUGGGGUGAAGUCGUAACAAGGUAAC